This 429-nucleotide ribosomal RNA is filed under the name Bacteroidota bacterium. RNAcentral's name for it is "Bacteroidetes bacterium partial 16S ribosomal RNA". It matches the Rfam family "Bacterial small subunit ribosomal RNA", at positions 355 to 776 of the family's 1533-position model. The record is from RNAcentral. Lineage: Bacteria; Pseudomonadati; Bacteroidota.
UAGGGAAUCUUCCGCAAUGGACGCAAGUCUGACGGAGCAACGCCGCGUGAGUGAAGAAGGAUUUCGGUUCGUAAAACUCUGUUGUUAGAGAAGAACAGCGCAUAGAGUAACUGUUAUGCGUGUGACGGUAUCUAACCAGAAAGCCACGGCUAACUACGUGCCAGCAGCCGCGGUAAUACGUAGGUGGCAAGCGUUGUCCGGAUUUAUUGGGCGUAACGCGAGCGCAGGCGGUCAAUUAAGUCUGAUGUGAAAGCCCCCGGCUCAACCGGGGAGGGUCAUUGGAAACUGGUUGACUUGAGUGCAGAAGAGGAGAGUGGAAUUCCAUGUGUAGCGGUGAAAUGCGUAGAUAUAUGGAGGAACACCAGUGGCGAAGGCGACUCUCUGGUCUGUAACUGACGCUGAGGCUCGAAAGCGUGGGUAGCAAACAGG